ACGGGAGGCAGCAGUGAGGAAUAUUGGUCAAUGGACGAGAGUCUGAACCAGCCAAGUAGCGUGCAGGAUGACGGCCCUCCGGGUUGUAAACUGCUUUUAGUUGGGAAUAAAAAAGGCGACGUGUCGCCUAUUGUAUGUACCAUCAGAAAAAGGACCGGCUAAUUCCGUGCCAGCAGCCGCGGUAAUACGGAAGGUCCGGGCGUUAUCCGGAUUUAUUGGGUUUAAAGGGAGCGUAGGCGGGUCCUUAAGUCAGUGGUCAAAGCGUGUGGCUCAACCAUACCACGCCGUUGAUACUGGGGACCUUGAGUGCACAUAAGGAUGGUGGAAUUCGUCGUGUAGCGGUGAAAUGCUUAGAUAUGACGAAGAACUCCGAUUGCGAAGGCAGCUGUCCGGGGUGUAACUGACGCUAAUGCUCGAAAGUGCGGGUAUCAAACAGGAUUAGAUACCCUGGUA
Molecule: ribosomal RNA, 453 nt
Filed under: uncultured Alloprevotella sp.
Lineage: Bacteria; Pseudomonadati; Bacteroidota; Bacteroidia; Bacteroidales; Prevotellaceae
Description: partial 16S ribosomal RNA
Rfam family: Bacterial small subunit ribosomal RNA
Source: RNAcentral